RNAcentral lists this ribosomal RNA (274 nucleotides) under uncultured bacterium. RNAcentral's name for it is "partial 16S ribosomal RNA". It matches the Rfam family "Bacterial small subunit ribosomal RNA", at positions 523 to 796 of the family's 1533-position model. The record is from RNAcentral.
AUACAGAGGGUGCGAGCGUUGUUCGGAAUUACUGGGCGUAAAGCGCGCGUAGGCGGACCAGUCAGUCAGGGGUGAAAUCCCGGGGCUCAACCCCGGAACUGCCUUUGAUACUGCUGGUCUUGAGUUCGAGAGAGGUGAGUGGAAUUCCGAGUGUAGAGGUGAAAUUCGUAGAUAUUCGGAGGAACACCAGUGGCGAAGGCGGCUCACUGGCUCGAUACUGACGCUGAGGUGCGAAAGCGUGGGGAGCAAACAGGAUUAGAAACCCUAGUAGUCC